Long non-coding RNA from Ruditapes philippinarum (Manila clam), 635 nucleotides. RefSeq lists it as uncharacterized. The record is from RefSeq and is a predicted model, not a curated record. Lineage: Eukaryota; Metazoa; Mollusca; Bivalvia; Venerida; Veneridae. The transcript has 3 exons.
GUCUUUAACGGAUUUGUUUAGAGUUUUUUUGGUGAGAAUCAAUCAGUGGUUAAACACACAAGAUUGUCCCCCGAGCGCUCAAUAUUCAUGGUCGAGUGAUUUUCCAUGCACUUUACUGUUAGCUACAUUUGCGUGAAGUUUGUGAGAGGGAUGUGACGGAAACGAAAGUAUGGGAGGUUUGGAAUUGUUUCUUUGAUUUUAGUACGUCGAAGAACUAAAUAUCAAUCAAAAAUUUGGCAUAUGAGGUCUAACCAAGUAUUGGCACGGAUGAUUGACGUGUGAUAUGUAAAAAUGAUGGCCAUGUUGAUGACAAUGUUGUUGUUUAUGGUAAUGUUGAUGAGGACGUCCAUGGGUGUAACAAUGAUGAUGAAAUGACGUUGUUCAAGGUAGUGAGCAUCAGACUAUUGUUCGAUUGAUGGUAAAAACAAUGUUUAUUGAUCAUGGAGCAGACGUAAAGCAAGAAAUGGCGGGAAGAAUCCUAGCAGACGACAGUUGUCGCGCAGAUGCAAUCAUGCAACAUAUCAGACUGCCCGAAUUUACAGGCUGGCCUAGCUCUAUACUGGUAAGGGUUUUGAAAAAGGAAACCAUAACUUUGUAAUGUAUGUCUUGUUUACUUUUUGAAAAAUAAACUUUCG